This 440-nucleotide ribosomal RNA is filed under the name uncultured bacterium. RNAcentral's name for it is "partial 16S ribosomal RNA". It matches the Rfam family "Bacterial small subunit ribosomal RNA", at positions 338 to 795 of the family's 1533-position model. The record is from RNAcentral.
CCUACGGGUGGCAGCAGUCGGGAAUAUUGCACAAUGGGGGAAACCCUGAUGCAGCGACGCCGCGUGAGUGAAGGAGGGUUUUGGUAUGUAAAGCUCUAGCAGCAGGGAAGAAAAUGACGGUAACUGAUUAAGAAGCCCCGGCUAACUACGAGCCAGCAGCCGCGGUAAUACGUAGGGGGCAAGCGUUAUCCGGAUUUACUGGGUGUAAAGGGAGCGUAGACGGCAGCACAAGUCUGGAGUGAAAUGCCAGGGCUUAACCUCGGAACUGCUUUGGAAACUGUGCAACUAGAGUGCAGGAGAGGUAAGUGGAAUUCCUGGUGUAGCAGUGAAAUGCGUAGAUAUUGGGAGGAACACCAGUGGCGAAGGCGGGUUACUGGACUGUAACUGACGUUGAGGCUCGAAAGCGUGGGGAGCAAACGGGAUUAGAUACCCCAGUAGUC